Molecule: ribosomal RNA, 200 nt
Filed under: uncultured bacterium
Lineage: Bacteria
Description: partial 16S ribosomal RNA
Rfam family: Bacterial small subunit ribosomal RNA
Source: RNAcentral
UACGUAGGGUGCGAGCGUUAAUCGGAAUUACUGGGCGUAAAGCGUGCGCAGGCGGUUCGUUGUGUCGGCGGUGAAAGCCCCGGGCUUAACCUGGGAAUGGCCGUUGAAACUGGCGAACUGGAGUGUGGCAGAGGGGGGUGGAAUUCCGCGUGUAGCAGUGAAAUGCGUAGAGAUCCGGAAGAACACCGGUGGCGAAGGCG